GCUCAUAGUAUAUAGUGUUGUGUACACACUCCCGCUGAUCCCACAUAUAUAUAAGUGGUUAGGUAAUUUUAACUAGUAGAGUUUCAUGAACUCAACCACAUAUUUUGCACAUCAGUAUAACAGAAUUAUUAAGAUAAGUGGUAACUCAAUAAUAUUAUGAAACCCCAUGUAUGUAUCUUUUAUCAAUGGCAGAGAUUAUUAAGAGUGGAGUUUCAUAGUUAAUCACAUAUUCGGCAUUUAGAAUUAAGGAGAAUGUAAAUUUUCAUUUAAGAAUUUUAUAACACAAGAUCUCCUUUUUACGAUUAAAAUUUCAAAGAAUUUUAUAAAUACAGUAACUUUUAUAUGACAAAGUAUGAUGAUUACAUAAAAGGUUUAUCAUCAUAUGAGUGAGAUAAGUCUCUAGUAUUAUAAAAUAAGAUAUGUGACUCUAUUCAUAAUUUUAGUAACCCUCUCAAAACUCAAAUGCUACAAUUAUAAUCACACACAUUUGAGAAAAGAUUAGGUUACAUGCAGCGGAAAUACACGAGACUUAUAUAUUAUAUUAUUAUUGAGGAUAUAAGAGAAAAUAGUCAUAAACUUCCAUAAGUAUUAAAGAAUAGCAAUAAUAUAAGAUAUGUCUAAAUAUAGUAAAACGGUAAAAUAAAAUAUGUCAAAUAUACCAUUUAUAAUUAUUUAGAAUAG
This 681-nucleotide long non-coding RNA is filed under the name Medicago truncatula (barrel medic). RNAcentral's name for it is "long non-coding RNA (MTRU_LNC008325)". Lineage: Eukaryota; Viridiplantae; Streptophyta; Magnoliopsida; Fabales; Fabaceae. The record is from RNAcentral.